This is a non-coding RNA of Dentipellis sp. KUC8613, 83 nucleotides long. NCBI's taxonomy places the organism in Eukaryota, Fungi, Basidiomycota, Agaricomycetes, Russulales, Hericiaceae. The record is from the annotation of a GenBank genome assembly.
GAUCCCUUGGCUCAGUGGUAGAGCGUGCGAUUCCAGCCACCGGCGCGUCCGCAAGGUCAUCCGUUCAAUCCGGGUAGGGAUCA